AGCCGUGGGGUAUAUUACGCUAGAGUGCAAAUCUAGAGACGCACACCCAAAGGUGUGCCGCGGCUU
This 66-nucleotide transfer RNA is filed under the name Ablepharus alaicus. Its description in RNAcentral is "Asymblepharus alaicus tRNA-Cys". The record is from RNAcentral. Lineage: Eukaryota; Metazoa; Chordata; Lepidosauria; Squamata; Scincidae.